AGUGAACGCUGGCGGUAGGCCUAACACAUGCAAGUCGAACGGCAGCACAGUAAGAGCUUGCUCUUACGGGUGGCGAGUGGCGGACGGGUGAGGAAUACAUCGGAAUCUACUUUUUCGUGGGGGAUAACGUAGGGAAACUUACGCUAAUACCGCAUACGACCUACGGGUGAAAGUAGGGGAUCUUCGGACCUUGCGCGAUUGAAUGAGCCGAUGUCGGAUUAGCUAGUUGGCGGGGUAAAGGCCCACCAAGGCGACGAACCGUAGCUGGUCUGAGAGGAUGAUCAGCCACACUGGAACUGAGACACGGUCCAGACUCCUACGGGAGGCAGCAGUGGGGAAUAUUGGACAAUGGGCGCAAGCCUGAUCCAGCCAUACCGCGUGGGUGAAGAAGGCCUUCGGGUUGUAAAGCCCUUUUGUUGGGAAAGAAAAGCAGCAGGUUAAUACCCCGCUGUUCUGACGGUACCCAAAGAAUAAGCACCGGCUAACUUCGUG
This 492-nucleotide ribosomal RNA is filed under the name uncultured bacterium. Its description in RNAcentral is "partial 16S ribosomal RNA". It matches the Rfam family "Bacterial small subunit ribosomal RNA", at positions 29 to 507 of the family's 1533-position model. The record is from RNAcentral.